AACUUGAAAGAUAUAUGGAGAGAAAAGAAUCCUGGAAUGAGUUCAUUUACUUGGAGUAAUAAGGCUUGUACUAGUUUAUCACGAAUAGAUUUCUGGCUGAUUUCCAACUUUUUAGACAACAAUGACAUUAAGGUCAAUAUUCUUAGAACAACAAUAUUUCGCAGGGAAUGGGUUCAUAUUGGAAAUUAAAUAGCUCCAUCCUAACGCACGAGGUUGUGAUCAAAACGGUUCAGUCUUUACUUGAACGCUUUUUGCAUAAAGCUUUAAUUGAUAAAAGAUUUAGUAGUAGUUGGGAACUUUUUAAAUUUGAGGUGUCAAAAUAUUUAAGAGCAUACGGAAGUUCUAUAUUUAAAGCUAAAAAAGUUGAGGAGGUAAAAAUAAUAUCAGAGAUAACACAGAUUACACAAGAAACACCAGAAAAUGUAACUGAAAGUGAAAUUGAGUCUUUUAUUAUUCAGCUAAAUAAAUUGGAUGAAUUAUAUAGAGGGAAGGCGGACGGGACCUUUGGAAGAAGUAGAAGGAAAUGGCUUGAGGAAUGGGAGCAGAAUAGAGCUCACUUCUUUCGACUGGAAAAAUUCUGUGCAAAAAACAACUCAAUACAGAAAUUGAAUAUUGAUGAUGUUUUUACAUAUGACCCUAAAAGAAUAGCUCUAUAUUGUUCUAAUUUCUGUAGCACAUUAUAUCAAUCAAAUUGCAGUGAGAAGUCCACCCUCCAAUUCUUAGAUUCUCUCACUGAAACCAAAACAAUUGAUAACGACCAAUCAGACUUCUGUGACAGACCUAUAAAACUAGGGGUAGUUAAACUUGCUAUUGGACAUCUCAAACUCAAUAAGUCCCCUGGAACAGACGGUAUCGCUGUAAUAAUAAGUGCUAACAAAGGAGCUGACACUAGGUGGAGCUCUAACCUCAUAACUCUUAUCCCAAAACCUAGGAAAGAUAAACUCCUUAUUGAUAACUGCCGUCCAAUCUGCCUUCUUAAUAAUGAUUAUAAAGUGUUUGCACAGAUAUUUGCAAAAAGGAUUAAAACUGUUUUGGAUCAUAUUAUCGAUGAGUGCCAGUCAGGUUUUAUGAGACACAGACA
RNAcentral lists this long non-coding RNA (1081 nucleotides) under Gadus morhua (Atlantic cod). RNAcentral describes it as "lncRNA (ENSGMOG00000035763.1)". Lineage: Eukaryota; Metazoa; Chordata; Actinopteri; Gadiformes; Gadidae. The record is from RNAcentral.